AGAGUUUGAUCCUGGCUCAGGACGAACGCUGGCGGCGUGCCUAAUACAUGCAAGUAGAACGCUGAAGAGAGGAGCUUGCUCUUCUUGGAUGAGUUGCGAACGGGUGAGUAACGCGUAGGUAACCUGCCUUGUAGCGGGGGAUAACUAUUGGAAACGAUAGCUAAUACCGCAUAACAAUGGAUGACACAUGUCAUUUAUUUGAAAGGGGCAAUUGCUCCACUACAAGAUGGACCUGCGUUGUAUUAGCUAGUAGGUGAGGUAAUGGCUCACCUAGGCGACGAUACAUAGCCGACCUGAGAGGGUGAUCGGCCACACUGGGACUGAGACACGGCCCAGACUCCUACGGGAGGCAGCAGUAGGGAAUCUUCGGCAAUGGGGGCAACCCUGACCGAGCAACGCCGCGUGAGUGAAGAAGGUUUUCGGAUCGUAAAGCUCUGUUGUAAGUCAAGAACGGGUGUGAGAGUGGAAAGUUCACACUGUGACGGUAGCUUACCAGAAAGGGACGGCUAACUACGUGCCAGCAGCCGCGGUAAUACGUAGGUCCCGAGCGUUGUCCGGAUUUAUUGGGCGUAAAGCGAGCGCAGGCGGUUUGAUAAGUCUGAAGUUAAAGGCUGUGGCUCAACCAUAGUUCGCUUUGGAAACUGUCAAACUUGAGUGCAGAAGGGGAGAGUGGAAUUCCAUGUGUAGCGGUGAAAUGCGUAGAUAUAUGGAGGAACACCGGUGGCGAAAGCGGCUCUCUGGCUUGUAACUGACGCUGAGGCUCGAAAGCGUGGGGAGCGAACAGGAUUAGAUACCCUGGUAGUCCACGCCGUAAACGAUGAGUGCUAGGUGUUGGAUCCUUUCCGGGAUUCAGUGCCGCAGCUAACGCAUUAAGCACUCCGCCUGGGGAGUACGACCGCAAGGUUGAAACUCAAAGGAAU
This 920-nucleotide ribosomal RNA is filed under the name human gut metagenome. RNAcentral's name for it is "bacterial SSU rRNA". It matches the Rfam family "Bacterial small subunit ribosomal RNA", at positions 8 to 910 of the family's 1533-position model. The record is from RNAcentral.